GGAAUAUUGGGCAAUGGGCGAGAGCCUGACCCAGCCAUGCCGCGUGCAGGAAGAAGGCUUUCUGAGUCGUAAACUGCUUUUGACAGGGAAGAAUAAGCAUUACGUGUAAUGCGAUGACGGUACCUGCAGAAUAAGCACCGGCUAACUCCGUGCCAGCAGCCGCGGUAAUACGGAGGGUGCGAGCGUUGUCCGGAUUUAUUGGGUUUAAAGGGUGCGUAGGCGGCCGUUUAAGUCUGGGGUGAAAGCCCGCUGCUCAACAGCGGAACUGCCCUGGAUACUGGAUGGCUUGAGUACAGACGAGGUUGGCGGAAUGGACUGAGUAGCGGUGAAAUGCAUAGAUACAGUCCAGAACCCCGAUUGCGAAGGCAGCUGACUAGGCUGUUACUGACGCUGAGGCACGAAAGCGUGGGGAGCGAACA
Molecule: ribosomal RNA, 419 nt
Filed under: uncultured Hymenobacter sp.
Lineage: Bacteria; Pseudomonadati; Bacteroidota; Cytophagia; Cytophagales; Hymenobacteraceae
Description: bacterial SSU rRNA
Rfam family: Bacterial small subunit ribosomal RNA
Source: RNAcentral